AUUAACGCUGGCGGCAUGCCUAAUGCAUGCAAGUAGAACGAGUCCGCCACAAGGCGAACUAGUUGCGAACGGCUGAGUAAUGGAUAGGAAUUUUCCCAAUGGUGUGGAAUACCUCAUCGAAAGAUGAGCUAAUACCGCAUGACCUCGAAAGAGAAAAGCACUUAACUGUGCACCGAUGGAUGAGCCUAUCUCCCAUCAGCUUGUUGGUAGGGUAAAGGCCUACCAAGGCUAUGACGGGUAGGGGGCGUGAGAGCGCGUUCCCCCAGAAUGGGACUGAGACACGGCCCAUACACCUACGGGUGGCAGCAACAGGGAAUCGUACACAAUGGACGAAAGUCUGAUGUCGCAAUGCCGCGUGGAGGAUGAAAGCCUUCGGGUCGUAAACUCCUUUUACAGUAAUAGAGAUGUUAUUGAGAAUAAGCACCUGCUAACUCUGU
RNAcentral lists this ribosomal RNA (437 nucleotides) under uncultured bacterium. Its description in RNAcentral is "bacterial SSU rRNA". It matches the Rfam family "Bacterial small subunit ribosomal RNA", at positions 29 to 506 of the family's 1533-position model. The record is from RNAcentral.